UUGCAAUGGGAGGAGGGAGGAGGCUGUGAGUCCCACCCAAGACUGACUGAUAAGGCCCAGGCCUCACAGGUGCACCUAAAUGUGGCCUGUAGAUGGAAAACUGGCACAUUUGAAUUGGAGUUUAUACACCUCCAGGCAUCUCUAUAAAUACAAACUGAAAAGAAUGGCGUGGCAUUAAACAAGCAGGAAGUGCUCAAACCCACAUG
Long non-coding RNA from Bufo bufo (common toad), 206 nucleotides. RefSeq lists it as uncharacterized. The record is from RefSeq and is a predicted model, not a curated record. The transcript has 3 exons. Lineage: Eukaryota; Metazoa; Chordata; Amphibia; Anura; Bufonidae.